RNAcentral lists this ribosomal RNA (315 nucleotides) under uncultured Saccharomycetes. RNAcentral's name for it is "SSU rRNA". It matches the Rfam family "Eukaryotic small subunit ribosomal RNA", at positions 1140 to 1476 of the family's 1831-position model. The record is from RNAcentral. Lineage: Eukaryota; Fungi; Ascomycota; Saccharomycetes.
AAACUUAAAGGAAUUGACGGAAGGGCACCACCAGGAGUGGAGCCUGCGGCUUAAUUUGACUCAACACGGGGAAACUCACCAGGUCCAGACACAAUAAGGAUUGACAGAUUGAUAGCUCCUUCUUGAUUUUGUGGGUGGUGGUGCAUGGCCGUUCUUAGUUGGUGGAGUGAUUUGUCUGCUUAAUUGCGAUAACGAACGAGACCUUGACCUACUAAAUAGCUCUACUUGCGACUGCAGGUAGCUAGCUUCUUAGAGGGACUAUCUAUUACAAGUAGAUGGAAGUUCGAGGCAAUAACAGGUCUGUGAUGCCCUUAG